Molecule: long non-coding RNA, 8430 nt
Filed under: Mytilus galloprovincialis (Mediterranean mussel)
Lineage: Eukaryota; Metazoa; Mollusca; Bivalvia; Mytilida; Mytilidae
Source: RNAcentral
CGCCCUUUGUUUAUUGACACUUUGAAACUUGAUGAAUUCAGCGAUUUCAAAACAGCAAAGAGAAUGAAAGUUUUCGUAGUUUUAUGUAUCAUUAUGGUAAGACUUUAUACCCCGAAUGUAAAACACUAUCAGCUUCUAACUCACAGAAUUCAUAAAACAGUUCCAAAACAGUUCGUCAGUUGAUAAUUUAGGGGGGAGAUGAAGCAUUGCACUUGUUUCUGUAACCGCAACUAAUUAUCUACUCCAAAUAAUUAUGACGUCUUGGAAGGAUAUUUUAAAUUUUUGCUUUGACGCCUUCCUGUGACGCAGAAGGCGUCAAAGCAAAAGGGUAAAUGUUGAUUACUUGUCUCUCCUCUUGGUUACAGGUAGUCGUAGGAAAGCGUCCCAGUAAAAAAAUAAAAUAGCCUUGCCAGACAUUUGGACUAGGUUACAGGUAGCUUCUAAAGACAAUACAGCUUAUCUUUCUUGAGGGGGGAUAGGACCUUUAUCGGGACUCCGGGAUCGGGAAUUUUUAAGCUCAGGAUUUCGGGAUUGACCCUUCCAGGAUCCGGGAAUUCUUUUUUUCGAAUUUCGGGACCUCGGAAUUUCGUGUUUUUAAGCCCGGGAAUUCGGGAUCUGGUGUUUUUAAGCCCAGGAUUUUGGGAUCAGGACCCCUCCUACCAUCCCUCUCUAUUUGUCCGCCAUUACUGGAUAUCAUACAGGUUUCCGUAAAAAUUUGACGUCAUAAAACAAAAUAUCUGAGGCCACAAUGGAAAAAGGAUUGUUGUAUACAUCAAAAGUUCAAGCGGCCGAUUCAGCCAGGAUAAGCAAUAUGGUGCAUCAAGUUCACAUACUUUAAUGAUGUUAUAAAGACAAAUCUACAUGUCAGUAUUUAAUACAAAUACACAUUAAAUCAUCACUUCACCUUAUUAACCACUAAUAUGAGGCAGGCAUUACCUGUAAAUGGGGACGAAGUCUGUAUGAAUUAUUUUUUGGUAUAAACUUAAAAAUAUUUGUUAAAAAAAAGAAACGGAAAUACCGUAAAGUUUCCAAUUUUGGUUCUGUUGUUCAGGGAUUUUAGUUGUGAUGUUAUUUAGGUUAUGACGUCAUAGAUAUGCAAUGUUAACAAAGAAACGCUAUCAUCAGGUAACCUUUUUUCAUAUCAAGGAAUUAUCAAAAAUGAAAUUGGUAACGGUUCCUUCCUACAUGUAUUUCAUACUAGACUGAUAAAUAUAUAUUUUACUCAAAGUUUCAUACAAACGAGACCGGAAAAAGGAAGUACAUUGUAGAUUUCAGUGCAGAUGCGGGAAUUCAAAACAUGACAUAAAUUUUUUUUUCCCGAUUUUGAGUUUAUUAGUACAAUGAAAAUUCCCGAUUUUUUUUCUAUUUUUGUUGUUGAUUUUUCUACUGUUAUUGGGGACUUUGUCCCCAUAUAAUAAUAAAUUGGGCAAAAUUACAGUCUGCACCGUUACCCACUAGUCCGAUGCCCCAGACUAGUAAAUAUUAAUUCGAACUGGUCAAAAUUUUCUAUAGUCAUAUAGGGACAAGUUUUGAUAUUUAGUGUCUGGACUAGUAGAUGAAAAAGUUUUUGGUGCAGACUGAAAUUAUCUCCCCUCUUCUUAAUAAAUAAUAUUGAAAAACCUUAAUUUUCUACUUACUUAACAUUAGUUAACUUUACUUGUUUUAUAAAAUAAACGGGCUACUUAAUUUUAUAUGGGAAAGGGAAAAACCAGAUGUGAAAGCUUGACAGUUUCAAAUAUUUAGCUUUAAGUUUUGUAUUCAAACAAGCCAAAAUUGUAAGCCGUAACUAAAACAUCUGCCAAAUUGCAUAUAUAGUUGAAGCUGGCUAGGAGGAAAAUAGUCCUAAUUAAUAGGAACCUACAUGUACCUUGUGAAUCUAUUACAGACAAGUGGCUCUUGCAUAAAAAGCAAUAAUUUAAAGUAUGAGUAGGCCUGAACCCUUUCCUACAUCAAAAUUUUUGUUUUGCAUAGGAUUUUUCAACAAAAUAUUGAAAAUAUGCUUUGAAGUAUUAAUGCAUUGCGAAAAACAAAUAUUCCAUCAAAUAAAUUUUAGUCGGAUAGUCUUAUGAAUAAUCUUUUCAUCACCAAAACUCAAUUUUGUCAUGAAUCCAUCUGUGUCCAUUGUUUAAUAUUCACAUAGACCAAGGUGAGCGACACAGGCUCUUUAGAGCCUCUAGUUCAUAAAUCUAAGUAAUCUUUUACAAAAAUCUUCUCCUCUGAAAUUACUGCGCCAAAUAAAUCCAAACUUGGCCACAAUCAUCUUUGGGGUAUCUAGUUUAAAAAAUGUGUGGCUUGACCCGGUCAACCAAUCAAGAUGGCCGCCACGGCUAAAAAUAAACAUAAGGGUAAAAUGCAGUUUUUGGCUUAUAACUCAAAAAACUAAAACAUUUAGAGAAAAUCUGACAUGGGGUGAAAUGUUUAUCAGGUCAAGAUCUAUCUGCCCUGAAAUUUUCAGAUGAAUCUGAAAAUUUAUUUUAUUUUUCCAGGCGCAUAGCUCCCUAUAGGCCAACACACAGGUGCUUGCACAUUGGCAUGCUGAACCAAAAAAAAAUAUAUUCACGAUUUUCAUCAUUCUUUGUUAAGAGUGUAUAAAAUGGAAUACAUUUCUACUUAAUACCAUCCAAUUAGCUAGCCUAAUUUAUUUUCAUCACUGCUAGAACAAACAACUGUCUGUGAACUCAAACGCAUUUUAUAAUACUUAAAUUAUUUUCAUUCUUCCUAAUAUUUUUUUUUUAUAUGCCCCGCCAAACGCGACGUCAUGUGAUAUUUAGGCUUAACCCACAUGUACGUUCUUACAUCUAUUAGACAUUGGUUUCCGCUCUCUUACUUUAGUUUACAUCAACCAAAUUUUACGAAACUUAUACACAGUGCUUGUUAACAAAAUACAGAUCAAGUUGAAAUUGGGGUACUGUCACUUUGGUUAUUCAAGAGUUAUAAAUGCAGAAAUCUGUUUCUGCUCUCAUUUAACUUCAGUUUGCCUCAACCAAAUGUUUCAAAUCUUAUAAACAAUGCUAAGUACCAUAAAACACAGAUCAAGUUAGUUUUGAAGCCAAUUGUAUGUUUUUCCAGGACGUCCUUUUUAUUUUUAUUUUUGGUCUUAAUUUAGUGUCUGGUUUAAUUGUUGAGCCUGCGACUUUUGUCGCAGAAAGCUCGACAUAGGGAUAGUGAUCCGGCGGCGGCGGUGUUAGCUCACUUCUUAAAAGCUUUAUAUUUUAGAAGGUGGGAGACCUGGAUGCUUCAUACUUUGUAUAUGGAUGCCUUAUGUUACAAAGUUUCUGUCAGUCACAUGUCCAAUGUCCUUGACCUCAUUUUCAUGGUUCGGUGACUACUUGAAAAAAAAGUUAAGAUUUUUUGUAAUGUUAAAUUCUCUCUUAAUAUUGUAAGUAAUAGGAUAACUAUAUUUGGUAUGUGCGUACCUUGCAAGGUCCUCUUGCCCGUCAGACAGUUUUCACUUGACCUCGACCUCAUUUCAUGGAUCAGUGAACAAGGUUAAGUUUUGGUGGUCAAGUCCAUAUCUGAGAUACUAUAAGCAAUAGGUCUAGUAUAUUUGGUGUAUGGAAGCACUGUAAGGUGAACAUGUCCAACUGGCAGGUGUGAUCUGACCUUGACCUCAUUUUCAUGGUUCAGUGGUUAUAGUUAAGUUUUUGUGUUUUGGUCUGUUUUUCUUAUACUGUAUGCAAUAGGUCUUCUAUAUUUUGUGUAUGUAAUGGUUGUAAGGUGUACAGGUCUACCUGGCAGGUGUCAUAUGACCUUGACCUCAUUUUGAUGGUUCAGUGGUCAAAGUUAAGUUUUUGAGUUUUGGCCUUUUUUUCUAAUACUAUAUGCAAUAGGUCAACUAUGUUUGGUGUAUGGAAAUAUUUUAUGACCUACCUGUCAGUCGCGCAGGUUUUAUUUGACCUUGACCUCAUUUUGUACGGUUCAUUGCUCAGUGUUAAGCUUUUGUGUUUUGGUCUGUUUUUCUAAAACUAUAAGCAACAAGUCAAUUUUAUUUGUUGUAUGGAAGAAUUGUUAGCUGUACAUGCCUACCUGGCAUGGUUCAUCUGACCUUGACCUCAUUUUCAUGGUUCAAAGGUCAAUGUUUAGUUUUCUUGGUUUAUGCUAAGUUUAUGUGACAGUUGUAAUAAAGCUUUAUUAUUAGGACUAUCAACAUAAUAUCAAUGAUUAGUAAAGAAGGCGAGACAUUCCAGUGUGUGCACUCUUGUUAAAAAAAAGUACGAUUCACAUCAAUCGCAAGUUUGCUCAAUGGACAAUACGCUAGUGUAUAACACUUUGCAAUCAUAUGCCAAUGUCGCUGUGUGAGACAAUCCAUGUGACAAGCCCAGUGCUGUAUCCUUCUGUAGAUACUAUUUAAUUUUAGUAUUGUGUUGACAACACAGAUAAUAAGUGCUGCAAAUUUUAUGGGGGGAGGGGGCUAGGAUGAAAUUUGAAAAAAUAUAAAAAGGCAGGACCAAACAGAGUGAAAAAUAAAAAGGCAGGACAGAGAUUACAUACAGCUAAUAAAAAAAGGCAGGACAAAAUUUUUCAUCCUAGCCCCCCAUAAAAAUCAAAUGGUAGCUCCCUUAUAUUCAUCUGGAUUAAAGCAACGGAGAAGUUUGUUCCUGUUAAGACCUGAAGAGCAUAUUUGAGGGUUUGGAUGGGGUUAAAUGAUUAAAGAAUAAUGCCCUUUAAAAAUGAAGAUUAGAGAAUAAAUGGCCAUAAAAAUGAAAAUGAGAGAAAAAAGGGGGUAAUUUUUUGAAGAUUAGAAAAAUGAAUUUUCUAUAAGUCCUAUGUAGCAUAACUUUCUUAUGACCGAAAACCAUAAAAAAAAAAUAAUUCUGCAUUAAAAACAGAUCCACAAAGUUUUUUGGCAUCGCUCUGCUGACAGAUGAUUCCACAUAAAUUAUCUUAGCUACAAGUUUGUACGCCCCUGUUUUCCAUCACUAAUAAGCGACAAGAAGAAGAAUUUAACGUUAAGAAGCACAAGAAAAUAAAUUAAGCGAUAACAAAGCUAAUAUUCUAUCAAUAUUAAAAUAUAAAUUUAUAGGAAAGUCAAUAUUUAUAUAAAGAGGGGAGCGCUCAUGAUCAGUAUUAAGAUAUUGACAAAUAUAAUGCCUACCCAGGUUAAAAUGAGCACAGAGAAUGGCAUGAAAGAAUUAUUUCUUAAUUAUGCAGGAUGUAACAUACAUUUACUAUAUGAGUAGUGGUAUUACCAGUAAUUACACCUGACCUGUAGCAAUUCUUAGUCUUAAUUUUCACAAUUUUUCUUUUAUAUAUUUUCAGUCAAUUAUUAGUUAGCUGAAUGUUAUGAAAUAAGACCCAUGGUUGACACUACCAAUUGACAAUAGACCGGUAAAAGAUGCCACCAAUUGACAACAGACCAGUAAAAGAUCCCACCAUUUGUCAACAGACCAGUUAAAGAUGUCCAUUUAUAGAUACAAAGAAAGAGAAAUAAAAGUAUAAUAUUGACAAAACAGUUGUUUGAUGGAAGUACAAACCAAUUCGAAAAGGUUUGAUAUUGGAUAAUAUAUAUAUCAUUAAAAAUAUUUCAACUGAUGGAAGUACAAAUCAAUGUGAAAGGUCUGAUAUUGGACUAUAUUUAAUAUAAAUAAGGCUAUGUAAACUAGAAGUUUUCUUGACUAGACUACAGAGGACUGAACACAGUCAUCCCAUGAGAUGUCAUGCUCAUGACAUUACAUGGGAAGCAUAUAGAUUAGAAAUUUCUGUUGUGGAGAAAGAAGUAAGGCAAAUAAAAGGAACACAUGCACAUUUAUAUAAGUGAUUAAAGUACAAUUUUACAGUAUGUAUCAGAGAAUUCAGCCGAAGGUAAAACCUUCAAAAGACACAAAAAUAGUUAUUGUUCAUAAACCUCAGACAUUUCAUGUAUGUGGUCAUUGUAAAGAAAGUUUCACAGAGAAAGAACACUUACAGAAUCAUAUAAGAAUACAUUUUGUCAAGAAACCUCAUAUAUGUGUUGUAUGUGGUGAAAGAUUUACUACUAAAGAGCAUUUACUGGAACACAGGAAAAAACAUAUUGCUGAUAUACCUUACACAUGUGCUGUGUGUGGUAAAAUUUUUAGAAUUACUGAACAAUAUCAGAAACACAUGAGAACACAUAUUGCUUAUAAACCUCCGGAUGAAAAGAUAACUGAGAAAGAACACUUACAGAAUCACAUGAGAACACAUAUUGCUUAUAAACCUCCAGAUGAAAAGAUGACUGAGAAAGAACACUUACAGAAUCACAUGAGAACACAUAUUGCUUAUAACCUCAGACGAAAGAUACUGGAAAGAACCUACGAACCAUGAGAACCAUAUCUCUAUAAACCUCCAGACGAAAAGAUAACUGAGAAGAACACAAUUACAGAGUCACAUGAGAACACAUAUUGCUUAUAAACUCCAGAUGAAAGAUGACUGAGAAAGAACACUUACAGAAUGUCACAUGAGAACACAUUUGCUUAAACCUCCAGAUAAAGAGAUGAGAAAGAACACUUACAGAAUCACAUGAGAACACAUAUUGCUUAUAAACCUUACAGAAUCAGACGCUUAUAAAGAUGAAAGAUACGUGAGAAAGAACACUUACAGAAUCACAUGAGAUCCAUAUUGUUAACAAUCACAUGUGUGUUGUAUGUCAUGAAAAGUUUACUAAGAAAAAGGAACUUACUAAUCACAUGAGAAUACAUAUUGUUAAUGAAACUCACACGUGUGUUGUAUGUCAUGAAAAGUUUACUAAGAAAAAGGAACUUACUACUCACAUGAGAAUACAUAUUAUCUAUAAGCCUCAUACAUGUACUGUAUGUCAUGAAAAGUUCACUAAGAAAGAGCACUUGGAGGAACACAUAAACACCCAUAUUGUUGACAAACCUCACACAUGUACUGUGUGUGGUGAAAAGUUUACAACUAAUGAUCAUAUGCAGGAACACAUGAGAACACAUAGUGUUCAAUAAACUACAUGCAUGUAUUGUAUGCAAUGAAUCGUUUACUAAGAAAGAGGACUUGCAAGAGCACACAAGAAAACAUAUUAUUAAUAAACCCCACACAUGUAAUGUGUGCGGUAAAAUUUUUACUGACAUACAACACCUAAAAGACCACCAGGAGACACACAUUGUUUAUAAACCACAUACAUAUAUUUUAUGUGAUGAAAAGUUUACCAUGUUCACUCCACACGUACAGCUUCCAAUAAGAACACAUAUCAUUAAAAAACCAUACACAUGUGCUGUGUGUGGUGAAAAAUUUACAGACAAACAACACCUACAGGACCACACGAGAACACACGUUGAUAGACCUUAUAAUUGUGUUUUAUGUGGUUUAGGGUUUGAUCGAAGUGAUUUAUUUGAAUCACACAUGAGCACACACGCUGAUUUCAUAUCUUAUCUGUGUGAUGUGUGUGGACUAGGAUUUAAAAGUAAACUGCAAUUUCAGAAACACACAAGAAAUCAUAAAGCUAGACAGUGCAAUAUAUGUGGUAAACGAUUUCAUGAUUCCUACUACUUACAGAAACACAUGAGACAACACAGUGACGAGAAACCACACAAGUGUGAGUUUUGUGGAAAGGAGUUUAAGUUAUCGUUUUUCUUAAAAACACACAUGAGAACACAUACUGGAGAAAAACCGUAUCAAUGUGAUCUGUGUGGUAAAGUGUUCAGCGAAAGUCAAGGUGUUGAAAAGACAUAUGAUAUCACAUACUGAUGAUAAAAUUAUAAAUGUGAUAUGUGUGGUAAAAGUUAUGGUGAAAAGAUGAUUUAAAGAGACAUUUGUCAUUACAACGGGUGAGAAACCUUAUCACUGUCAGUCAUGUGGUAAAAGUUUCAGAUUAGAAAAAUACUUACAAAAGCAUGAAAUGAGAACACACAAUGGGGAUAAACCGUACACUUGCAGGGCAUGUGGCAAAGGAUUUGGUCAGAAACAUGCCUUGGAGAGACACAUAAGAACUCAUACACAUAGAUUAGAUAAACCAGUAAGAACUUAUACACAUAAUGAUGACAAACCUUAUAAGGUGCAGUGUUGGUCAAGGGUUGUGUAGUAAAGACACUCUAGGGUUGCACAUGAAAUUACACACUGGUGAUGGUAUGCAUAAAUGUGAUGUAUGCGGUAAACAGUUUAAUAGGAAACAUAACCUACGAACUCAUUCGAAAAGACAUUCUGGAAAUCUUCGACACUGUAGUAUUUGUGGCAAAGGAUUUGUUACAGAUUACAACUUACAAAGACACAAAAAAACACAUGAUAAUGAUAAGCGUUGGAAAUUUGAUGUUUGCUAAUUUUACGGAUGUAAUAUAUGCUUGAAAUUUGAUGUUUGCUAAUUUUACGAAUGUAAUAUAUCCUUGAAACUUGAUAUUUGCUAAUUGUACGAUUGUAAUACAAUUAAUGUUCGAAACUUGAUGUUUGUGAAUUGUAUGGUGAUGGUGAUAAAGUUAGAAACUAAAUGUUUGUGAAUUGAAGAUAGUGAUAAGAACGAAC